AUGUUCGGGGAUAUGCAAAGUCUCAAAAUUUACCUGGCGGGCAUUUUUCUUCAGGACACGACUGCUGGAAAAAUUCAGGAAACAGGAACGCAGGAUACCAGAACAGCAGGGAAUCCGAUAAGGAGAGAGGAGACCCGCGGCAGAAGGCUGGUGGAGCGAGAUCCCAGGACCACGGCGCUAUACAAGCUCUGAAAACAGGGAGAAGAGCACCACAACAACAGGAUCAACUGUGUUACCUGUAGACAACUGCAAGGGUCAAAAAGUGAUGGCCAUUCCAGUAGCAGUAUGUGUUUAGAAAGCAACUCCAUUUUAUUUUUCAUGCCAGAGACAGAAAACAAUGCAACCGUCUCACUUCAAUAAGGAACUAAAAAUCAAAUGGAAAACCAGACAAAUACAGAAUGGGUUUGGAACAAAGUUGCAGAGUUUCUGGACCUCACUGUGCACAAGGUUUCAAAGAUCCACAUCAUGCUGUUCAGAAGCAGAAGUAAACAUUGCUGUGCAACAAUCAAUAUUUUUGUAGUUCUGCAAUGGCAGAGCACUCAGAAGCUGAAUGGGAAGUGACACAGACUCAGCCUGAUCAGCAAUCCUAAAUCAGAGACCUGGGUGUGACCCCAGUGGAGAGCCCUGCUGUCCUGAGAGACACAAGCCUUCCAGAAGAAGGAUAGAGCUUUUGGCAGCUUCUCACCCUGACUCUGAUAAGGAUAGCUAAUUGCACUUGCUUUACCACUUGAAAUUGUGUCUUCUUGGUGCACUGUGGAUUUUCAGAAGGUCUCUGAACGCUGCUUCAAAUGACAUCUCUUCCUCAAAUGGUAAAGAUUCAUCAUGACAGAUGAUGGACCCAGAGGAGAACGGCAUCACAGACAAGUGGAAAUACAAGCAGUUCUUGCUGGAAGCUGACAGCAACCUCACACUGAGGCUGAGAUAUUGUUUUAUUGAACAUGGGAGAGAGUAUCUGCUUAACAGCCUUGAAAAGCAAGUAUUUCAGAGAUGGGGUGCUUUGGUUUAUUAGACUUUCGGUUAUCUGAAAGCCCUUGAUACUUCAACUCUUAUCACUGGAAUUCUAUGAACUUGGAGGAGUCAAGUUCCCAUAUUAGUAUGUAUUUUAGAAGUACACUCAACAUGACUGAACUAGUGGCUGGGGAUUUGGCACAGAAGCUUGAAUUGUCAGUAGAUAUGGAUGAGGAACUUAGGAGGGAUUGGAGCUGAGUGAUACCCUAGGACGUAUACCAAAAGGGCAUUUGUCCAUUAAUCAAAUAAUUAUUCAAUUUCUAUUCUCUGCCAGGCAUGGAGAUCAAAUCUGCCUGAGUGGAAGGGGAAGAAUUGACAAAAUAUUUCACAAAUAAAUAUUUAAUCAGAGCCA
Molecule: long non-coding RNA, 1360 nt
Filed under: Felis catus (domestic cat)
Lineage: Eukaryota; Metazoa; Chordata; Mammalia; Carnivora; Felidae
Description: lncRNA (ENSFCAG00000044221.2)
Source: RNAcentral